AGAGCUUAUAUUUUAAAUAGAAUAGGAGUUUUGUAAACUUCUGGUGCCCUGAAGCUGAGCUC
This 62-nucleotide transfer RNA is filed under the name Lutraria rhynchaena. RNAcentral's name for it is "tRNA-Thr". Lineage: Eukaryota; Metazoa; Mollusca; Bivalvia; Venerida; Mactridae. The record is from RNAcentral.